This 497-nucleotide ribosomal RNA is filed under the name uncultured bacterium. Its description in RNAcentral is "partial 16S ribosomal RNA". It matches the Rfam family "Bacterial small subunit ribosomal RNA", at positions 28 to 507 of the family's 1533-position model. The record is from RNAcentral.
GAUGAACGCUGGCGGCGUGCCUAAUACAUGCAAGUCGAGCGAACGGACGCGAAGCUUGCUUCUCUGAUGUUAGCGGCGGACGGGUGAGUAACACGUGGAUAACCUACCUAUAAGACUGGGAUAACUUCGGGAAACCGGAGCUAAUACCGGAUAAUAUUUUGAACCGCAUGGUUCAAAAGUGAAAGACGGUCUUGCUGUCACUUAUAGAUGGAUCCGCGCUGCAUUAGCUAGUUGGUAAGGUAACGGCCUACCAAGGCAACGAUGCCUAGCCGACCUGAGAGGGUGGUCGGCCACACGGGAGCUGAGACACGGUCCAGACUACUACGGGAGGCAGCAGUAGGGAAUGUGCCGCAAUGGGCGAAAGCCUGACGGAGCAACGCCGCGUGAGUGAUGAAGGUGUUCGGAUCGUAAAACUCUAUUAUUAGGGAAGAACAGAUGUGUAAGUAACUGUGCACAGCUUGACGGUACCUAAUCAGAAAGCCACGGCUAACUACGUG